RNAcentral lists this transfer RNA (74 nucleotides) under Schizymenia dubyi. RNAcentral's name for it is "tRNA-Asn". It matches the Rfam family "tRNA". Rfam says of the family: Transfer RNA (tRNA) molecules are approximately 80 nucleotides in length. Their secondary structure includes four short double-helical elements and three loops (D, anti-codon, and T loops). Further hydrogen bonds mediate the characteristic L-shaped molecular structure. tRNAs have two regions of fundamental functional importance: the anti-codon, which is responsible for specific mRNA codon recognition, and the 3' end, to which the tRNAs corresponding amino acid is attached (by aminoacyl-tRNA synthetases). tRNAs cope with the degeneracy of the genetic code in two manners: having more than one tRNA (with a specific anti-codon) for a particular amino acid; and 'wobble' base-pairing, i.e. permitting non-standard base-pairing at the 3rd anti-codon position. Lineage: Eukaryota; Rhodophyta; Florideophyceae; Nemastomatales; Schizymeniaceae. The record is from RNAcentral.
UUCCUCAGUAGCUCAGUGGUAGAGCGAUCGGCUGUUAACCGAUUGGUCGAAGGUUCAAGUCCUUCCUGGGGAGA